UAGAGUUUGAUCCUGGCUCAGAUUGAACGCUGGCGGCAUGCCUUACACAUGCAAGUCGAACGGCAGCACGGGGGCAACCCUGGUGGCGAGUGGCGAACGGGUGAGUAAUACAUCGGAACGUGUCCUGGAGUGGGGGAUAGCCCGGCGAAAGCCGGAUUAAUACCGCAUACGCUCUAUGGAGGAAAGCGGGGGACCUUCGGGCCUCGCGCUCAAGGGGCGGCCGAUGGCGGAUUAGCUAGUUGGUAGGGUAAAGGCCUACCAAGGCGACGAUCCGUAGCUGGUCUGAGAGGACGACCAGCCACACUGGGACUGAGACACGGCCCAGACUCCUACGGGAGGCAGCAGUGGGGAAUUUUGGACAAUGGGGGCAACCCUGAUCCAGCAAUGCCGCGUGUGUGAAGAAGGCCUUCGGGUUGUAAAGCACUUUUGUCCGGAAAGAAAUCCUCUGGGUUAAUACCUCGGGGGGAUGACGGUACCGGAAGAAUAAGCACCGGCUAACUACGUGCCAGCAGCCGCGGUAAUACGUAGGGUGCGAGCGUUAAUCGGAAUUACUGGGCGUAAAGCGUGCGCAGGCGGUUUGCUAAGACCGAUGUGAAAUCCCCGGGCUUAACCUGGGAACUGCAUUGGUGACUGGCAAGCUAGAGUGUGGCAGAGGGGGGUAGAAUUCCACGUGUAGCAGUGAAAUGCGUAGAGAU
Molecule: ribosomal RNA, 695 nt
Filed under: bacterium enrichment culture clone PA_3
Lineage: Bacteria
Description: bacterial SSU rRNA
Rfam family: Bacterial small subunit ribosomal RNA
Source: RNAcentral